This 269-nucleotide ribosomal RNA is filed under the name uncultured prokaryote. RNAcentral's name for it is "partial 16S ribosomal RNA". It matches the Rfam family "Bacterial small subunit ribosomal RNA", at positions 524 to 792 of the family's 1533-position model. The record is from RNAcentral.
GACGGAGGUGGCGAGCGUUGUUCGGAAUCACUGGGCUUAAAGGGCACGCAGGCGGUUAAGUGUGUCCGGUGUGAAAUCCCUCGGCUCAACCGAGGAACUGCGCCGGAAACUACUUGACUUGAGGGUUGGAGAGGUGAGUGGAACUCCAGGUGUAGCGGUGAAAUGCGUAGAUAUCUGGAGGAACGCCGGAGGCGAAAGCGACUCACUGGACAACUCCUGACGCUGAGGUGCGAAAGCCAGGGGAGCGAACGGGAUUAGAUACCCUAGUA